UACGAAGGGGGCUAGCGUUGUUCGGAUUUACUGGGCGUAAAGGGCGCGUAGGCGGUCUUUUAAGUCAGGCGUGAAAGCCCUGGGCUCAACCUGGGAGUGGCGCUUGAUACUGAGGGACUAGAGAGUGGGAGAGGUUGGUGGAAUUCCCAGUGUAGAGGUGAAAUUCGUAGAUAUUGGGAAGAACACCGGUGGCGAAGGCGGCCAACUGGACCAUUUCUGACGCUGAGGCGCGAAAGCGUGGGGAGCAAACAGG
This 253-nucleotide ribosomal RNA is filed under the name uncultured bacterium. RNAcentral's name for it is "partial 16S ribosomal RNA". It matches the Rfam family "Bacterial small subunit ribosomal RNA", at positions 524 to 776 of the family's 1533-position model. The record is from RNAcentral.